CCGGAGAAUUGCAUCAGAAACUGUUGAACUUGAGUGCAGAAGAGGAGAGUGGAACUCCAUGUGUAGCGGUGGAAUGCGUAGAUAUAUGGAAGAACACCAGUGGCGAAGGCGGCUCUCUGGUCUGCAACUGACGCUGAGGCUCGAAAGCAUGGGUAGCGAACAGG
This 164-nucleotide ribosomal RNA is filed under the name uncultured Lactobacillus sp. Its description in RNAcentral is "partial 16S ribosomal RNA". It matches the Rfam family "Bacterial small subunit ribosomal RNA", at positions 613 to 776 of the family's 1533-position model. The record is from RNAcentral. Lineage: Bacteria; Bacillati; Bacillota; Bacilli; Lactobacillales; Lactobacillaceae.